ACCAAACCGAACUGGAGCUGGCCCAAUGGACCAACCAGCUUGGGUUUUAGCAUUUGGGAAAGUUUUUAGAGAAGUGGGAGCAUGUCUAAUUAGCAUCAUGCCGGAAUGAAAAUUUCAGAACGUCCUGUGGAGGGAAAGGACUGCUCUGUCAAGAAGAAGAAGAAACGCUACAGAACGUAAAAAGGUACAAUAAGUAUGAUAUUACCAGUCGUAAAGCUAGGAACCCUUGCUCUCAAAACAUUUUGCAAGCCCAUUGCUAAUCGUCUCAAGAAGGAAGCAGGGUUGCACCCUAAGUUCCGUCACUUCAUCAUCAACAUGGCCCAGGCAAAUCAUAGAUUCAGUACAAAAAUGCAAAGACGCAUUUAUGGCCAUUCAGUUGAUGCUGUAAUACGACCAUUGGAUGAGGAGAAGGCUGUCCAAGCUGCUGCAGAUCUUAUUGGGGAACUCUUUGUGUUUUCGGUUGCUGGAGCUGCUGUUAUUUCCGAGGUGCAAAGAAGUUCCAGAUCUGAAGCGCGAAAGGAGGAGAAGCGAAGACAGGAAAUUGAGGCGAUGAUGCGAAGAGAUGAAGAAUUAGCAAAAGAAAUUCAGGUUCUCAAACAGAUGCUUGAUGAGGUGGAUCAACUUGCUAGAGGACGAGGUAUUGCUGGGUUUUCCCAUUUCAAGCAUGGCCAUGCUACUGAAGAUGGAAAUGGAAAACCAACUUGAUCACUCAAAAAUUAAGUAGAGCAAGAAGUUUACUGGAAGAACUGACCUAACUUACUUUGCACCCUUGCUCCUCGCUAGGGAAAAAUCCCGACAAUGGUCGAGAACUGAAUACUUUGUACAAAGGCUUCAAUUAACUCAUGCGGCCAGGCAUCAAGUGCUUAUGAAGUUUCCAAUUCUCUAAUCGACAGAAUCAUAUGCUAGUGGAUCUAGGUCCCAUUUGUGGGUGAAAAUCAAUUACAUAUGCUUUGUGUUUAUGCUGGACCGUCUGCAUAUUCAGUUUCUGUUGUAAUUUUUCAGAUAUAUACAUACCAAUGGGUCAGUUUUCAAUGGAAACUCUAUCUUGAUCAUGCUUUAACAAAG
Populus euphratica (Euphrates poplar) is the source of this 1065-nucleotide RNA transcript. It is a transcript of the gene named optic atrophy 3 protein homolog, with no coding region annotated. The record is from RefSeq and is a predicted model, not a curated record. The transcript is spliced from 5 exons. Lineage: Eukaryota; Viridiplantae; Streptophyta; Magnoliopsida; Malpighiales; Salicaceae.